GGAAGUGAUCAUGGGAAGGCAUCCGGGAGAUCUCAUCUCGUCCUUGUCACUAUCAACGGCCCAUCAAAUUCUAUUCAAGGAUGUAGUGGACCAACGCAUUCUUCCUCCUCAUUGUCAAGCAGCGGAGGAAUUGGUUAACAUUGCAAAGCUAGUGUUUGCUUGCCUUGAUGCCAGUCCACGCUCUCGGCCAACCAUGGAACAAGUUUCUCACAAGAUAGCAAUUCGAAAGCCCAACCAUACAACAAGUCUCUCACAAGAUGUCCAUUCGAAAGCAACAUUUGCCAAGGCAUUUGACACUGUAGAAUUAGCAGACCUGUUUGAUUGUUUGCGUCCUUAAUUUCUAGUCUUCGUAAUCUAGCCAUUUGCUUUUGGAUGUAUCCAGUAUUUCCUACUAGAUAUAUAGGAUGUAGGAGUCCAUGAAAAUCAAUAAAACUAAUCAGUGAAAAUAUUUAUGGUCGAC
This 460-nucleotide unclassified non-coding RNA is filed under the name Hevea brasiliensis (rubber tree). Lineage: Eukaryota; Viridiplantae; Streptophyta; Magnoliopsida; Malpighiales; Euphorbiaceae. The record is from RNAcentral.